Anas platyrhynchos (mallard) is the source of this 2593-nucleotide non-coding RNA. The record is from RefSeq and is a predicted model, not a curated record. NCBI's taxonomy places the organism in Eukaryota, Metazoa, Chordata, Aves, Anseriformes, Anatidae.
GGGAAAGCAUUCCGUGGGGUUGCUUUUCCGUCUCAUUCCAAGAGCUCACAGGUUUUCCUGUAGUUUUGAUCUCUGGUGAGGUGGCAGGGGGAGAUAUUUCCCUCUGCAAAUUGGGCUUCCGCUCCCUUCCCCAAGGCUUUAGAGAGAAACUUCCUAUUGCUAUGACAUUAUUUUCAUGAAACGCAGGGGAAGACUUGUCUGACACUACAAAUAAUCAGGAGUAAUUAAAACUAAUGUGAUCCUGCCAAAGCGCUGGAAAACUCCCUCCCCCUUUCUCCUCCUGAUGCCCCAGCCUUGACCCCUCUUCCUGUAUUUGUUUACCAACUUGCGAAGGAUUUAACAGCGUGGGGUCUCCACCGUCAGCAGGAUUGAAAGUUUUGCUGUUGCUUUGAAAGAAAAAAAAAAAAAGCCUUUAAUGAGGACUCGGAGCCUGGCACAACUUCCUCAGACAUAGCAAAACUCAGAGCACAGCCGAUGCUUUCCAAGCGCUCAGGGAAGAUGCACCAGAAGUUGUCUGUGUCUGAAGACACGACUGAGAAUGGAAAUGGAGUUACGCUGUGCACCAGGGCGUAUUUUGGCAUCGAUGCUUUCCUCGAUCUCAGCUGGAGCUGCAAAGGGAUGGGCACACGCCUGUCAGGGAGUGCAGAGGCUACGCCCCAUGUUGGUUAUUUGGCUCAGGAGUUCUUGUUUGCUGUAGAACAACCCACCGGAGGUGGUCAGGUGCCCUGGGAGGGAUGGCUCUCUUAAAAAAUUGUCAGGGAAGGCAAGUGAGUGUCAUCCAUCCUGCCUGCCAUCCCUCCCAGGCCAAAGUGUGUGCUCCAGCCCGCGGCGGUGCCAGGCAGGGCUCCCAUCUAUGCACUCACUCCCUGAUAAGAUCUCACCAACCCCUGGGCGCAGACACUUGUCUCUGCCUGACUCCCAGCCCUUCCCCUGGAUGGAUUCGUGCAGCCCCUGCCCCACGGGGACAUUUCAGCCUGCAGCAGAGGCACCCCAGGGCUCACCCACAUUGCUGGGCUCUCUGCCUCUGCUUUGGUUUAGGAUCUGGGUCCCUGCUAGGUUCAUGAAAUCUCAAAAUAGUGGGAAGAGGCCCCUGGGGGUCACUGCUCCAACCCCUGCUCAGGCAGGGCCACCCAGAGCAGGGUGCCCAGGACCACGUCCAGAUUUGAAGAUCUCCGAGGAGGAGACCCCACAACCUCUCUGGGCAGCCUCACCUGCACAGCACAGAAGAGCUUCCUGAUGGUCAGAUGGAAAUUCAAACCCAGGCUGACCUUGAACUCCUUUAACCCCAGCAGCAAACUCAUCCUGGGCUGGACCUGGACCUCCCUUCCUGGGCUCGGACUGGAAACCAUGGUCCCAGCAGGAAAAAUAAACCACAAAUAAUAAAUAAAUCUGGCUGAGAAAACAGCCAAGGACAGAGCGAGGGAGGAAACAAAGCUGAUCAGGCCUCAGGGUGGGGGUAAAAGGUGUCUUUGGGGGUGUUUGACAGGGCAGGAGAUGUUCCUGCCCACCAGAUCGUGCAGGUGGGGACCGAGCCCUGCUCUUUCCCCUACCACCAUCCCCACACCAUGGGCACCAGCAGCCCACGGGUUUGAGGGGACUGCAGGCGAAGCACACUGCUGACACAAGAGGGAAUUUCCGCCUGAAUUCCUCCCAGCUGAGAUUUGGCCCCGGGACCUUGCAGUAAACACGCUGCGGUGUCUGUGAGGGGAGGGAGGGUGAGAGCCGCUGCUGGGGCUGCUGGCACCCACUGCUCCAUCACGGGGUCACCUGCUCCCCAAAACCUGCAGGCGGUGAGCCAGCAGCCUCCUGAAACACAGCACGGGUGGGAGAGUUCGGGAACACGUCUCGCAGCCGUCCCACCCGUGGCCAGGUCACCGCUUGGGCAUGGCCACAGAAGAAUGACUCCGUGUUCUCCCGACGCUCCUGCGAGCGCACGUGUUGAGCCAGACUCCACGUGAGCAGCACCAGCGCGAGACGAGGGGCUGCAGGUCAGGGCUCCAGCUGCUCCUCAUCCUCCUCCAGGAGCUUCGUGUGCCCGCAGGCAGCUCGGGCAAAGACUGGAAAAAGACUGGAGGCAGGGGGGGCUCGGUUAUGUCCCCUGGGGUGACAGGGAUGCCGCAGCUCCCCGCCGCCCCCCCCGGACCGCCGCCAGCCCCGCCUGGCUUUUGUGCCGUUGGCUGUUGCUCUGAACCGCUCAGCCUUCAAUUUCCCGUCGUAAAUCAGUUUGCUGCUCUGGAAACUUGCUGAACGGCGGAUUUUACCCAAAUCCACGGCGGCAGCGGUUUGCUGCGAGAGUGACAACGGAAUUUUACAGCGUCACUGCUGUCACUUACCGCCCCGGGCGGUGUUUGGAAAACAAGCCGGGAGCGAUGCCUGGGGCAUGUGUGCUCUGAGCCGUUUGCUGGAACCCCUCUGCCUGUUAUUUUGGGCAAACAGCCUCCUGCUGCGCUGUGCCACCAGUCCCAGGGGCAUCUACAUCCCUCCUUUGCUCUCUGUACAUACAUGAAAAGACACAAGAGGUCCCAAAUCUGCAAGGCACCGAGCUCUGCAUGCAAGUACCGGGGAGAUUGAUGCUAUUUGCACCCCAUGCUGG